GUAUUGAUUCGCGCGUGAUCGCGCAAAGAACAUUCUACACUAGGGUGUUUGAUGUUUAAAAACGUGAGCACCCCCCUCCGAGGAAGGGGGGACGCACGCGGUGAUGCACAAAGGGGUGAGAUGGAUUAUGUGUGAGAGCACCAAGGUGUGCACGACCUUUUCAAAAGUCAGCGACAACCCCAGCACCUCCAUUGUAUGAUAAUGAUCCUUCCGCAGGUUCACCUACGGAAA
Molecule: unclassified non-coding RNA, 231 nt
Filed under: uncultured fungus
Lineage: Eukaryota; Fungi
Description: sequence contains ITS1
Source: RNAcentral